UUUCGCAAUGCCCGAAAGGGUGACGAAGCGACGCCGCGUGGGUGAGGAAGGCCUUCGGGUUGUAAAGCCCUGUCAGGAGUUAAGAAAUGUAAGUGCGCUAAUAUCGCAUUUAUUUGACAAAGGCUCCAAAGGAAGCCACGGCUAACUCUGUGCCAGCAGCCGCGGUAAUACAGAGGUGGCAAGCGUUGUUCGGAAUUAUUGGGCGUAAAGAGCACGUAGGUGGGUUUGUAAGCCAGAUGUGAAAGCCUUCUGUUCAACGGAAGAAUUGCAUCUGAAACUACAAGUCUUGAGUGUAGGAGGGGAGAAUGGAACUUCUGGUGGAGCGGUGAAAUGCGUAGAUAUCAGAAGGAACGCCGGCGGCGAAAGCGAUUCUCUGGCCUAUUACUGUCACUCAGUGUGCGAAAGCUAGGGGAGCAAACGGGAUUAGAUACCCCGGUAGUCCUAGCUGUAAACGAUGGGCACUAAGUAGAGGGGUUUU
This 478-nucleotide ribosomal RNA is filed under the name uncultured bacterium. Its description in RNAcentral is "bacterial SSU rRNA". It matches the Rfam family "Bacterial small subunit ribosomal RNA", at positions 364 to 832 of the family's 1533-position model. The record is from RNAcentral.